UCAAACUUGGUCAUUUAGAGGAAGUAAAAGUCGUAACAAGGUAACCGUAGGUGAACCUGCGGUUGGAUCAUUAAAAAUUUGGUUUCAUACCAAACACUGUGUGCAUCGGAUUUGUCUCUGGCGAUGGUGCUUCGUCUUAAACAUGUUAUUCUUUGGCUUACAAAGGGUAGCCUCUGGCCAUCGCCAACAGUAUGUCACAAGACAUCCCUUUGCGGGGGUCGUCUUGAGUCAUACUAAAAUAAACCUUAUAAUUUUUUGUCUGAUUUUUUUUAUUAUAAUAAUAAACAACUUUUGACAACGGAUCUCUUGGCUCUCGCAUCGAUGAAGAACGCAGC
This 335-nucleotide unclassified non-coding RNA is filed under the name uncultured fungus. RNAcentral's name for it is "partial contains small subunit ribosomal RNA, internal transcribed spacer 1, and 5.8S ribosomal RNA". The stretch from base 1 to 73 matches the Rfam family "Eukaryotic small subunit ribosomal RNA", at positions 1759 to 1831 of the family's 1831-position model. The record is from RNAcentral. Lineage: Eukaryota; Fungi.